This 5628-nucleotide long non-coding RNA is filed under the name Phaseolus vulgaris (common bean). Its description in RNAcentral is "long non-coding RNA (PVUL_LNC004802)". Lineage: Eukaryota; Viridiplantae; Streptophyta; Magnoliopsida; Fabales; Fabaceae. The record is from RNAcentral.
UUCUCUUUGGUGUUGUGGUCUCUGUUAUUUUGGUAUAUGGAUUUUGCCUUAGUUUUGUUUGUAUUGCGCGGGUGAUUCGGUUUUGUUGGUAUUGUUUUGGUGAUUGUUGUGCUUCUUUCUUACCAGUUUCCUUCUUGAUCAAGUUUGUCUAGGGUUUUGGCGAAUUAUAUGAUGUUUGCGAUGGAUUGGUGUGGUUUUCUUGGAUUUUCGGAUUGCUAAUUCAGAAUAACCUAAUUUCUUUUCCAAUUUCCUUUCUAUUAUUUAGCUUCUCUGGUAUUGAUGACCGAUUAUUUUCUUAUGCGUUUAUUCGUGACUGGCUAUUUGAUGUCGGAGACUUAUCAAUUUGGUGUGUUAUUUGUGUUUAUUCCUAUUUGGUGUGUUUAUCCUGAUUUCUCGAUGAGUUUCCUUUCUAUUACGUAAUUUCUCUUGAUUUGAUCACCAAACGUCGGAUUGAAUUUUCAAUUGUUUCUCUACGCAGCGUUGUUUGGAUUAUUUCCGUUUAGUGUUAUCAGCAUCUCAUGGAGCAUGUUAUGAGCGACCGUGUCUCCCUUGGUUUUUUUAAUUCUUAAAUUGAUCUAAUUUUUUAUAAACUGUGUCCUCUAUUACCAGUUAUAGUAUUACCAGUUAUAGUUUUCUUGAAUUCUUGUUCUUUGCAGAGAUGUGAGAGAUGUGUGGGUUAGGAUGUGCAAAACAGUGGCGGGAGAUUCCUUGAACAGUGAAGCAUUAGUUGUUCUUUUUACUCUUACAUUAAUUUUUUCUUUUGCAUUAAUUCUUGAUUGGAUGAACUUUCGGGUUUAUUUUUAUUUUUUUCUUCUUAGGCAUAACCAAAUUUAUAAUGGAAGGCCAAAGAAUCUCCAAUUUUAGGAGAUGAUCAUGACCACUGGAUGGAAUAAUGACAUUUGUUCUUUUAGCAGUUUCUACUAUGGUGAUCUUUAGGGAUAAAUUGAAAAGGGUAACAAGUAUAAGUAAAUUUAUUUUUUUCUUUGAUUACACAUUUGUUGGUUUCUUGACAUUUUGUGAACCCUUUUUUCUUGCAGUGUGAUUGGAGUAGUUUUGGGUCGGUAUUCUAUUUGAACUGGAUUUUGUAUUCUCAAAUUUGCUUUGUGUUUCCACUUCUCGUCGGUCUAGUAUGUUAUUCCCACCGCUUCAUACCAAGCUCUAACUUUAUGCCUGGUGUUCUGUUGAUAUUUCCAUAUCAGGAAUGGUUUGGAUAUGUUUUGAGUACUACGAUCUUCAAUGUGCUGGGGAUUAAACGUGAAAUGGCAACUGCACAAAAUAACAUAAUUUCUUGAAAUGUUUCCUCUACUAUUAUUUAACUUCGCUGGUAUUGAUAACCGAACAUUUGGAUUGAAUUGUGAUUUCUUUCGAUGCAGCAGGUUUGUCUUAAUCGAGCCUUCUGCGAAUACGUCUGCAUUGGUUUUUGUAUUCUUGAAUUUAUUAAUUCAUUUUAUCUUUUCUUAAAUUCUUGGUCUUUACGUGCAAGACAAGCAAUGGAUGUGGAAACUUUAGAAGGAGAUCCUAUGAAGCUUUAGGUUUUAUUACCCUUACAUCUUCUGAUGCGUUUAUAUUUACAUUGACGGAUAUCCAUUUGAAUUUGAAUACAGUUCUUCAUUUGAUUACGUCUAGGUGUUGAACUGUUUAUGUGUAGGUGUUGAACUGUUUAUGUUCAUUCCUUUCUUGCUUGUCGAGAAUCUAAGAUUGGUGGAGGAUUAAAAUCCCGCAGUGUUUACAUCGACCAACGAUUCAGGAUUACCUGAGUUCUUUUGAGUUUUCUUCUAUUUUUGACUUUCGGGAUUUUAUAACCUAAUAUGAUCACUCCUAAUUGUUUUCUUGAAUUGUUCGGCCUUACUGGGAACACAAUCGUGACUGACUUGUGAGCUAGGAUGUGGAAACUUUAGCCAGGGAAUCUGUGAAGCUUUAGGUUUUGCUUUCUUUUCUAUUAUCAUUUAUUGUUUAUGAAUAUCAGACUCUAACAAUAAAAAGUCACCUUAAUUGUCAGAUUUGCUCUUCUUUCUCUUUGAAAUGUCCUCUUGUAUGAGACUUCAUUUGCUGGAUGAGCAUUUAUAAAUUUAAAUGCUUGAUUUUUGCUCAAUCUUAAUCCCUUGCUGAUUUUAAACAGAACUGCUUUCAGAAUAAGAAUUGUUUGAGCGCUAUCAUCUACAUUGAAACGACAACUGCUCAAGAUAACUUUAAUUUCUUCUACUAUUUAACUUCGCUGGACUUGAUCAACGAACAUUAGGAUUGAAUUGUGAUUUGUUUCUCUGCAGAAGUGUUUAUAUUAGAUUCGUGCAGUGUACCUGCAUCUUAUAUAGUCUCUCGGAUCCUGUGGAGCUUUAGGUUUUGUUACCCACACAUUUCCUAAUGUGUUUUAUUUCUGGCAUUUGAUCACCUGACAUAAGGAUUUAACUGCCAUUUGUUUCUUCAGAGGUGUUUCGGUAUCUUUCGUUUCUACAUUUCGUUGGUCUAGCAUCAGUAUAUUUCUCCAGUAGUUCUGCUUGGCCUAGCAUCAAUAUUUCACCAAUAGUUCUGCUUGAUUUGGGUCGCUCUCAUUGAACUGAAGUCCAUCAAAUAUAAAAUGUUAGACAUUGAGUUCAAAUUAAGAUUAGCAUAUCAUGGAGCAUGUUAUGAGCGAUCUUGUCUGCCUUGUUUUUUUAAUUCUUAAAUUUAUAUAAUUUGUUCUAAACUUAGUCCUCUAUUACCAGUUAUAGUUUUCUUGAAUUCUUGUUCUUUGUAGAGAUGUGUGGGAUAGGAUGUGCAAAACAGUGGCAGGAGAUUCCUUUAACAAUGAAACAUUAGUAGUUCUUUUUACUCUUACAUUACUUUUUUUUUCUGUUGCAUUAAUUCUUGAUUGGAUGAACUUCUCGGUUUUAUUUUUAUUUUUUUCUUCUUAGGCAUAACCAAAUUUAUAAUGGAAGACCAAAGAAUAUCCAAUUUUAGCAGAUGAUCAUGACCACUGGAUGACAUUUGUUCUUGUAUCAGUUUGCUCUAUGGUGAUCUUUAGGGUAUCAAUAAAUUGAAAAGGGUAACAAGUAUAGGUAAAUUUAAGAUUGUUUUUAUUACGCAUUUUGUUGGUUUCUUUAAGGUUUUUGUGAACCUUUUUUUCUUGCAGUGUUCGUUCGACUAGUUUUGGGUCUGUACUCUAUUUUAGAAUGGAUUUUGGUGAUCUUUAGGGUAUGAAUACUUGUUAACGGUAACAAGUAUAGGUAAAUAUAAGAUUUUUUUUAUUAUGCAUUUGUUGGUUUCUUCUUGACAAUUUUGUGAACCAUUUUUUCUUGCAGUGUUCGUUCGACUAGUUUUGGGUCGGUAUUCUAUUUUAGAAUGGAUUUUGGUGAUCUUUAGGUAUGAAUAAAUUGAAAAGGGUAACAAAUGUAGGUAAAUUAACGAUUUUUUUUUAUUACGCAUAUUGUUGGUUUCUUGACGAUUUUGUGAACCUUUUUUUCUUGCAGUGUUCGGUCGACUAGUUUUGGGUCAGUAUUCUAUUUUAGACUGGAUUUUGUAUGCUCAAAUUUGCUUUCUGUUUCCACUUUUCCUCGGUCUAGUAUGUUCUUCCCUCCCCUUCAGUGAGUGUGUGGUUGGUUGUUGAUGCAGUAGGUGUCUUCUUACAUGAUUUGGUGAUCUCCACUAUUUAUCCUGAAUCUUGGAUUUUAAUUUGUACUACACACUGACCUCUAUCUUAUUGCUGGUUAUAUUUCUCAAUUUUAAUCCCUUGAUGAUUUGUUCAGUCUCAAAAAAAGCUCUAUAUUAGGUAAAUUUUAUGCCCGGUUCUAUUGUGUGAUCAUUCUGAACUUUUUCUUCUGUGAGUUUUGUUUUUUCCUUAUAUCCGUAUCAGGAAUGGUUCCAAUCUUCUGUGGAGUGGAGUAGUUUGAGCAACAAUAUUAGUUUGCAAUUGGAGGAUUACUCUCGGUACUUUUUAAUAUGAUCUAUACUAGUAUUUCCAAUUUAAUUGGAUAUCUUUUUUCUUAACAGUGCUUUUGGAAUAUAUGUUUGAGUACUACGAUCUACAUGAAGCUGGGUAUUAACAAUCAUUUCUGGAAUAUAUAGCAUAAUUUCUUCUAACUACUAUCAGUUGCCUGCUCAAGAUAAACUAAUUUCCUCUACUAUUAUUUAACUUCGCUGGAGUUGGUAACCGAACAUUUGGAUUGAAUUGUGUUUUCUUUCGCUGCAGCAGUUUUGUAUUAAUUUUGUGUACUGGGUGUGGAAAUUUUAGAAGACAAGUUCCGAGAGUUAUUGGCGUGGAAACUUUAGCAGGAGACCCUCUGAGCUCUAGGUUUUGUUACCAUUACAUUUUCUGAUGCGUUUUUUUUUUGCAAGGAUAUCUAUUUUGAAUUUGCGCGUCGAAAUAAGAUUGUUCGAGUAUUAAAAUCCUAAAUUUGUUUUUUUGGGAUUUGAUCACCUAACAUACAUGAUCACUGAAUUGUCAUUUGUUCCACCAUUUAUCUCAUCGAGCAUGCUGAAAGAUGACAUCUCCUUUUGAUGCUGUUUCCUUUUUGUUUUGAAGUUGUCUUAUUGUUUCUAUUCUUAGUCUUUUGAUUAGUGAAAUCUAUCAAAUCUAGCUGUUUGAUCUGUGAUUAUGUUCAUUCCUUUUCAGGUUAAAAAAUAAUUCUAAUGUUGAGGGGUAAUAUAAUUUUUUGGAUGAGUUUCCUUUCUGUCAUUUAAUAUCUUUGGACUGGAUCAUCAAAUAUAAGGAUUCAAUUGUGAUUUGUUUUCCGCAGCAAUGUUUGGUGGAUUUGUUUCGUGUAACAUUCCUCUCAUCGAGGAAAUCUUACAAGUGAAGACAUCUCCCUCUGAUUUUUCUACUUUGUAGUUUUCUUCAAUUUUUGGGCCUUACGGGGAAGACAACCAACUGAUAUGUGAGCUAGGAUGUGGAAGCCAGGGGAUCUGUGAUGCUUUAGGUUUUGUUACCCUUGCUUUUCUUAUGUCUUAAUCUUUGACUAGUUAAACUUAUGAUGCUUUAAUUUAAAGUCUUGUGUGAUUUAAUUUUGUAAAAGGGAAAGAGAAGAUAUGAGGGAAACAAAAUAUCAUGGCCAUUACAGUUUUGUCUCGAAGCUAUUUUUAAUUUAGACCUGCCGUUUCUCGAAGCUAUUUUUCUCAUCGCAAAAUUUAAUCCUCUUACUUUGCUUUCUUUUGUAUUUUCAUUUAUUGUUUAUGAAUAUCAGACUAUAACAAUAGUAAGUCACCUUAAUUGUCAGAUUUGCCUCUCUGAAUUGCUCAAUCGUAAUCCCUUGCUGUUUUUAAACAGCACUGUUUUGGAAUAGGAUUUGUUUGAGCGUGUUAUCAUCUACAUGAAGCUGGAACGUGAAACGGCAACUGCUCAAGAUAACCUUCUACGAGUUCGCCGGACUUGAUCAUCUAACAUUAGGAUUGUAUUCCUCUCUAUUAUUAUGUUUCUCUGCACUCGAUCACCGAACAUAAAGUUAUAAAUAAUUUGCGCCUAUUAACAUUUAUUUGUUUUUAUUUCUUUUACCCUUUUGGGAUCUUUUUUUUUGUACUACAGUGAUCCUCCUUUAAAUUGACAUAAAAUGGUGGUUGAAUAUAGAAAGAAAAACUCUUGCUAUGGAUAGGUCUGCAUCUUUGGAAGGUUAAAUUUCUUAUGCCGUAUUCCAAAUUCUAUUAAAAUUUCUCUCAAUG